This 497-nucleotide ribosomal RNA is filed under the name uncultured bacterium. Its description in RNAcentral is "partial 16S ribosomal RNA". It matches the Rfam family "Bacterial small subunit ribosomal RNA", at positions 28 to 507 of the family's 1533-position model. The record is from RNAcentral.
GAUGAACGCUGGCGGCGUGCCUAAUACAUGCAAGUCGAGCGAACAGACGAGGAGCUUGCUCCUCUGACGUUAGCGGCGGACGGGUGAGUAACACGUGGAUAAUCUACCUAUAAGACUGGGAUAACUUCGGGAAACCGGAGCUAAUACCGGAUAAUAUAUUGAACCGCAUGGUUCAAUAGUGAAAGACGGCUUUGCUGUCACUUAUAGAUGGAUCCGCGCCGCAUUAGCUAGUUGGUAAGGUAACGGCCUACCAAGGCAACGAUGCGUAGCCGACCUGAGAGGGUGAUCGGCCGCACUGGAACGGAGACACGGUCCAGACGCCUACGGGAGGCAGCAGUAGGGAAUCUGCCGCAAUAGGCGAGAGCCUUGCGGAGCAACGCCGCGUGUGUUGUGAAAAUCUUCGGAGCGUAAAACUCUGUUAUUAGGGAUAAACAAAUGUGGAAGGAACUGUACACUUCUUGACGGUACCUAAUCAGAAAGCCACGGCUAACUACGUG